This 497-nucleotide ribosomal RNA is filed under the name uncultured bacterium. RNAcentral's name for it is "partial 16S ribosomal RNA". It matches the Rfam family "Bacterial small subunit ribosomal RNA", at positions 28 to 507 of the family's 1533-position model. The record is from RNAcentral.
GAUGAACGCUGGCGGCGUGCCUAAUACAUGCAAGUCGAGCGAACAGACGAGGAGCUUGCUCCUCUGACGUUAGCGGCGGACGGGUGAGUAACACGUGGAUAACCUACCUAUAAGACUGGGAUAACUUCGGGAAACCGGAGCUAAUACCGGAUAAUAUAUUGAACCGCAUGGUUCAAUAGUGAAAGACGGUUUUGCUGUCACUUAUAGAUGGAUCCGCGCCGCAUUAGCUAGUUGGUAAGGUAACGGCUUACCAAGGCAACGAUGCGUAGCCGACCUGAGAGGGUGAUCGGCGACACGGGAACGUAGACACGGUCCAGACUCCUACGGGAGGCAGCAGUAGGGAAUCUUCCGCAAUGGGCGAAAGCCUGACGGAGCAACGCCGCGUGAGUGAUGAAGGUCUUCGGAGCGUAAAACUCUGUUAUUAGGGAAGAACAAAUGUGUAAGUAACUAUGCACGUCUUGACGGUACCUAAUCAGAAAGCCACGGCUAACUACGUG